GGAGGCUUCUACAUUAGAACACAGAAGCUCUGCUGUUGACUCCAGAUCGUUCCUGAGCCUGGAGAGGAGCAGACGUGGAUCAGUUCUUCCGACGGAACAGAUUCACAACAAAGCCUAAUGUGGAGGACUCUGCAGAGAAGUAGGGCAACCACAGCAAGAUGCCAGAUUUAAAGAAGGAAGAAGAGAGAGAGAGAAAAAAAAAUCACCUUCCUCCUUUCAACAUAUUGUAUCUCUCAACAAAACAAGGACGGAUGAUGAAACCUGGACUGGCAAACACAGUGCUUCACUGCUCGGGGGAUAAUGUGUCAAGGCUGGUGUCAGUAUUCUUGACACAAAAAGGGAGUAUAUGAGUUUUUUGACUGGUGGGGGAGUUUCUUUUUUUGCUUUUUUUUUUUUUUUUUUUUUUUUUUUUUUUAGUCAGGCGUUCACCUUUGGAUGAACUCCUGAAAGUGGAGGCGGGAAUAAAAGUGAUGAGGAGGAAAGAAAAAGGCAACAAUAAUAGAAAGGAAGGAUGGGGCGGAGGAGGAGGAGGAGGAGAACACAAGGCUCAGCUCCAAGUAAAUCAUCUGCAUUGUUCUGCUCCCCUAAUGCCGCUCAUAUGCAUCAACACGCAUGCACACACACAUCGAAAGUGCCAGGACAGCAUCAAACACACGCAUACCCACACAAAGGGAAUCUCAGGCACAAAUUCGCACUUCCAUGUUCCUGCCUUAGUUUGUCCCUGGUGGAGAUGGUUUUUAAUGCGCCGUAAUCCCCCCUUUUCCCCUUGAACACAUAAAAGAGAUAUCCUCCUAUCCAUGUAAGUGCUUCUGACGGCCACCAGCCCGUCGUGAACACACAUGUGUUGACACACACACACACACACACGCAGACACAUGAACACACGUGGAGGCGCCAGCUCAUCAACAUGCAGUUAUUCCUUUGGCGCUGGAUCGCAGGUUGUUAAUUGGCUGCCAAAGCAGAAUGUGUGUGUAUGUGUGUGUGUGUGUGUCUGUACCGCAGAGCUGGGGAUGCUUAGACAUUCCCGUCACGUCCCUGAGCCUCGAUUAAGACGUUGCUCCAGUUUCGAAUAGACAGACAUGUGGGGGAGGAGGAGAGGAGAGGAGAGGCAGAGAGGAGGCAGCAGGGGGCAGAAAAGAUGAGAGAGCGCCGGAGGAGAGAGAGGAAGGCAGAAAGAGAGGUGAUGAGGUGGGGCGCAGCAAAGGAUGAGAGGGGGCAAAACGAAGGAGAGAGAAGUAGUGAAAUACUGCACUGGUCCCGUGUGUGAGACCUGGACUUGAUUACAUAUCCUCGAAUGGAUUUCUGAUCGAUGUUGUUGAAGUAUGAAGGUGUUUCAGGUAUCAAGAGUGACGGUACAGUUUCUCGUCACUAUUCUGAAUUUAAUGUGACAUCUGCUUCUGUGAUUCAAAUGUUAAGUUUACAAUUCUACAAUACAUCAACUCUGACUGAAAGGGUCUGUUUCAAUUCUCAUGUUGGACAUUUUUCUUCUCAUGCCAAGCAGGAACUCCUGGUUAAAAUGUUUCACAAUGUAUUCACAUGUUGUUGACACUAUCGGGACACACAGGCAGUAAAAAGCUACAGAGAUGAUUUCAUUUCAAAUAUUAGGUAUAUAUUCAGGUACUGCUGCGUAUUUUCCACCUAUGAUUUUAAAUAAUCACCAUUACAAUCACAAUGAAUUCUGUUAUAAAUAUGCAUUUUCUUGAUGAAAGUAUCAGUAGAUUUUCUUUCCACUUAUUUCUUUCUCCCUAAGUAAUUAGAUUGGCCUUGUUGCUGCUGCUCUUUGGCGCCCCCUAAAGGGCCUGCGCCACACUUCAGAAACCACCAAUUUGACCUUUAGCCUGUUGUCCUGAUGGGAUUCUCCUUCGUGCACUGUGAAUAAGAAGUGGAAGCUGAAGAAGGAAUAUUUCUCAUUGAAUAUCACUGCACCUUCACAUUUCUGGGUCAAUUUUAAAUGAUGAAAUUUGUAUUUGAUAAAUGAAACUUAUAACAAAUGUUUUGAGCAAAUGAAUUCAUCAGUUUUUGGAAAGAGAGCGGCAGGUUGUAUUUUGACCUUGUAAAGAUUACACUACAUGGUGUGUUUCUCAUUGUGUCUAUGAUGUUCAUAACAAUCAAUCAGAUCUAUUAAACAUGCACAUUGAAAAUGUAGCACAUCUGUUUUGUCACCAGACAACCAAGUAAAAAAACAAAACACAUCUACUGUUAACAGAGAAAAACAGACUGAACCAGGAUAAUUAAAGU
Molecule: long non-coding RNA, 2238 nt
Organism: Salarias fasciatus (jewelled blenny)
Lineage: Eukaryota; Metazoa; Chordata; Actinopteri; Blenniiformes; Blenniidae
Exons: 2
Source: RefSeq, a predicted model, not a curated record